AAGACGCUAUGGCUAUGAUGAAAUAGGCUAUGAUAUCUAGAUAAAACCAGAGAGAAUACGAGUUCUGCCAACAUACAGAAGUUGUGUUCUCAACAUCUUUCAUAAAUGUUGCAAGGUGCGUGUUGGUUCUUCUAGAUAGUGUAUUUUUGGAGGGUCUGUCAUGGAUACGACAACAUUUUUGGAGAAUCUUAGCAUAGUAGCUUAAUUGAUUGUUUUUUAUGUUGUGAAUUUACAUAACCGAGCACAACUAGUUUGUGAGCAAGGCAUGGUUGUUUUUCUUGUGUUUGUUGGUCAAGUGAUUGAUUGUUGGACUAGAUGAAGUAUGUUUAUUAGAGUGCUUUAACUUUGAAUAGCCACCAUGGAAUGGAUGGAA
This 373-nucleotide long non-coding RNA is filed under the name Solanum tuberosum (potato). RNAcentral describes it as "long non-coding RNA (STUB_LNC005901)". Lineage: Eukaryota; Viridiplantae; Streptophyta; Magnoliopsida; Solanales; Solanaceae. The record is from RNAcentral.